AGGUAAGCUACUAAGAGCGAAUGGUGGAUGCCUUGACUGGUAAAGGCGAUGAAGGACGUACUAGACUGCGAUAAGCUACGGGGAGCUGUCAAGAAGCUUUGAUCCGUAGAUUUCCGAAUGGGGCAACCCAAUGUAUAGAGAUAUACAUUACCUAUAUAGGAGCGAACGAGGGGAAUUGAAACAUCUUAGUACCCUCAGGAAAAGAAAUCAAUAGAGAUUGCGUCAGUAGCGGCGAGCGAAAGCGCAAGAGGGCAAACCCAGUGCUUGCACUGGGGGUUGUAGGACUGCAAUGUGCAAGAGGUAAGUUUAGCAGAACAUUCUGGAAAGUAUAACCAUAGAGGGUGAUAGUCCCGUAUGCGAAAAACAAACCUUAGCUAGCAGUAUCCUGAGUAGGGCGGGACACGAGGAAUCCUGUCUGAAUCCGGGUCGACCACGAUCCAACCCUAAAUACUAAUACCAGAUCGAUAGUGCACAAGUACCGUGAGGGAAAGGUGAAAAGAACUGAGGUGAUCAGAGUGAAAUAGAACCUGAAACCAUUUGCUUACAAUCAUUCAGAGCCCUAUGUAGGAAUACAGGGUGAUGGACUGCCUUUUGCAUAAUGAGCCUGCGAGUUGUGGUGUCUGGCAAGGUUAAGCAAACGCGAAGCCGUAGCGAAAGCGAGUCUGAAUAGGGCGCUUAGUCAGAUGCUGCAGACCCGAAACGAAGUGAUCUAUCCAUGAGCAAGUUGAAGCUAGUGUAAGAACUAGUGGAGGACUGAACCCAUAGGCGUUGAAAAGCCCCGGGAUGACUUGUGGAUAGGGGUGAAAGGCCAAUCAAACUUCGUGAUAGCUGGUUCUCUCCGAAAUAUAUUUAGGUAUAGCGUUGUGUCGUAAUAUAAGGGGGUAGAGCACUGAAUGGGCUAGGGCAUACACCAAUGUACCAAACCCUAUCAAACUCCGAAUACCUUAUAUGUAAUCACAGCAGUCAGGCGGCGAGUGAUAAAAUCCGUCGUCAAGAGGGAAACAACCCAGACUACCAGCUAAGGUCCCUAAAUCUUACUUAAGUGGAAAACGAUGUGAAGUUACUUAAACAACCAGGAGGUUGGCUUAGAAGCAGCCAUCCUUUAAAGAAAGCGUAAUAGCUCACUGGUCUAGUGAUUUUGCGCGGAAAAUAUAACGGGGCUAAAGUAAGUACCGAAGCUGUAGACUUAGUUUACUAAGUGGUAGGAGAGCGUUCUAUUUGCGUCGAAGGUAUACCGGUAAGGAGUGCUGGAGCGAAUAGAAGUGAGCAUGCAGGCAUGAGUAGCGAUAAUUAAUGUGAGAAUCAUUAACGCCGUAAACCCAAGGUUUCCUACGCGAUGCUCGUCAUCGUAGGGUUAGUCGGGUCCUAAGUCGAGUCCGAAAGGGGUAGACGAUGGCAAAUUGGUUAAUAUUCCAAUACCAACAUUAGUGUGCGAUGGAAGGACGCUUAGGGCUAAGGGGGCUAGCGGAUGGAAGUGCUAGUCUAAGGUCGUAGGAGGUUGUACAGGCAAAUCCGUAUAACAAUACUCCGAGAACUGAAAGGCUUUUUGAAGUCUUCGGAUGGAUAGAAGAACCCCUGAUGCCGUCGAGCCAAGAAAAGUUUCUAAGUUUAGCUAAUGUUGCCCGUACCGUAAACCGACACAGGUGGGUGGGAUGAGUAUUCUAAGGCGCGUGGAAGAACUCUCUUUAAGGAACUCUGCAAAAUAGCACCGUAUCUUC
RNAcentral lists this ribosomal RNA (1718 nucleotides) under Campylobacter jejuni. RNAcentral's name for it is "partial 23S ribosomal RNA". It matches the Rfam family "Bacterial large subunit ribosomal RNA", at positions 1 to 1737 of the family's 2925-position model. Lineage: Bacteria; Pseudomonadati; Campylobacterota; Epsilonproteobacteria; Campylobacterales; Campylobacteraceae. The record is from RNAcentral.